RNAcentral lists this ribosomal RNA (476 nucleotides) under uncultured bacterium. RNAcentral describes it as "partial 16S ribosomal RNA". It matches the Rfam family "Bacterial small subunit ribosomal RNA", at positions 31 to 523 of the family's 1533-position model. The record is from RNAcentral.
GAGGAACGCUGGCGGCGUGCUUAACACAUGCAAGUCGAACGGUAAGGCCUUCGGGUACACGAGUGGCGAACGGGCGAGUAACACGUGGGUGAUCUGCCGCGCACUUUGGGAUAAGCCUGGGAAACUGGGUGUAAUACCGCAUAGGAUCAUGGCCUUCAUGGGUUGUGGUGGAAAGCUUUUGCGGUGUGGGAUGGGCCCGCGGCCUAUCAGCUGGUUGGUGGGGUAAUGGCCUACCAAGGCGACGACGGGUAGCCGGCCUGAGAGGGUGUCCGGCCACACUGGGACUGAGAUACGGCCCAGACUCCUACGGGAGGCCGCGGUGGGGAAUAUUGCCCCCUUUGCGCAAGCCUGAUGCAGCGACGCCGCGUGAGGGAUGACGGCCUUCGGGUUGUAACCCUCUUUCAGCAGGGACGAAGCGCAAGUGACGGUACCUGUAGAAGAAGGACCGGCCAACUACGUGCCAGCAGCCGCAGUAC